UACGUCGUCAGUUCAAUCGCGACGUGUCAGGAACGCAUUCUCUGAAUGGCCGAACUUAUAGUAGUUAAACCGUGGAAAACGACUAGUUAUACAUAAAUGAGACUUAUUUUUAAUAUUAGACCGUAUUCAUUUGAAAUGGAAUAUGUAUAGUGCCGGCAGUAGGCAUAUUCUCUGUUGGGCAGCUGCCUAAUGAUCCUUAUGCACCAAAGUCUUGCAACGUGAUAAUCGUUUAUACAAAAUAAAUGUAUUCAGACAGUGCUGAAACAAAGACAAAGCCUUCAUUGUACAAGGGUAGUGUACAUUAUUAUUUCUAGUUGUAAGGGUUGGUUACAACCUCAUUUGAACGAUUGAGUCAGCAAUCGAGGACAUCAUUACAAAUUUAUAACGUGCCAUAUUAUUAUAUAAAUUGUAAGAGUUGCAUUUUGUAUGAGUUUGUUAGGUAUAUAACGUGACUAUGGGGAAGUCAUGUAUUAAUUUCUACCAACUACAUAGGCAGUAAAUGGAUUUUUUAAUAAACGAUUUACAAAACA
Long non-coding RNA from Helicoverpa zea (corn earworm), 530 nucleotides. RefSeq lists it as uncharacterized. Lineage: Eukaryota; Metazoa; Arthropoda; Insecta; Lepidoptera; Noctuidae. The record is from RefSeq and is a predicted model, not a curated record. The transcript is spliced from 2 exons.